Molecule: long non-coding RNA, 565 nt
Filed under: Gossypium barbadense (sea-island cotton)
Lineage: Eukaryota; Viridiplantae; Streptophyta; Magnoliopsida; Malvales; Malvaceae
Description: long non-coding RNA (GBAR_LNC001636)
Source: RNAcentral
UAACGGCGGUCGGAGAACAGGUAAGGCCCCCCUCGAUUUCCCCUUUGAGUCUUUGUUUUAUUUUUUAAAGUAAAAGAGGAAAGAAAAAAGAUUCGUAACAGUAAAAAAAAAUAGAGGAAAAAAACUAUCAUCACCUUGUUUCUAUUUGUUUGAACGAAAAUUACACUCAAAGAUUUUCGUAUUUUUUUGAUUUCCAAAAAAAAAAGAAUCCCCUUUUACAGCUUUUCGUAUGGGUUUUAUAGCCUAAGGAAAUAAACCGAAAAAACAAGUCUCCUUUUGUUACUGUGCUUCUUGUUGUUUUCUGUUGUAGGUAUAGUUGCGAAAACCUCGGAAUCGCGAGGCAUGGCGGAGUGGGACGCUGGUGAGAGGCGUGCGGCGCGAGGGCUCAAGCAACAGCCUUGGGUUUCUGUUUGUUUGGGCCUUGUUUGGGUUUAUAUUUGGGCCUAUGUUUCUUGUAUUGGGUCAUGGCAUAAAUUAGUUGGGCUGUGUAGUGUUUUUGGAUUUGGGUUUGUGAGCUUUGGGCCCGGGCAUAAAUUUGGUCCUACAAUAUAUUUUGUUCUUUUUG